CAGUGGACUCGGGUUAUAAUUACCAACAGAGGAGAGAAUAACUAUAAGUUAUUUUGAUGUAAAAAGCAUAUUAUCCUAAGCCAACAUAAUAACACAGUUUUUAUGAAGCACAAUAAUUACUUUGAAGACUCACAGAAGUGCAUUUUUCUAAAAGAAGGAGAUUCUCAUACAGAAACAGAUUAACAGAAACAGAAACAGCAACACUAGAGAACAGCAAAAUAGUAACAUUUCAAAUAGUAACAUUUCAAGAAAAUAUAUACACCUUCACAGUAUGUGGUGGUAUCCACUUACUGUCUACUGCCUCCAUAACUCCUAAAGUCUUCUGAAGAUUUAUUAAUGCUUUGAAUAUAUGAGCCACCGUUUCUUUUCACAGCCUUUUCACAACUGGGAAUUCUUUAGAGAAAGGCAAUCUUACCUCAUUUACUUACUUCAUCAGUAAUGCCAUUACUAUGCCUACCUAAGAAGAAAAUAUAUCAUGUGGCAGAGGACUAGAAAGAAAAAACAACAACAAAAGGCUGUGAAGAUUUGAUCAUAUGCCUACGUGUGUGGUGAAUACAAUAUUUCUUUAAUCGCAAUCAGGAAUAUAAAUCUUAUUUUGAUGCUAUGACAUAAUAAAGUGCAUUAUUUUCCUGAA
This 634-nucleotide long non-coding RNA is filed under the name Homo sapiens (human). RNAcentral describes it as "non-protein coding LINC01851:10". Lineage: Eukaryota; Metazoa; Chordata; Mammalia; Primates; Hominidae. The record is from RNAcentral.